UAAAAGUUUUAUUUUUGCUUAUUUAUUUAUUUAAUUUUUUUUUUAUAUGUAAAUUUUUGUACGUUUAUUAUUAAAAAUUUUCUUAAAGAAAUGUUUUAAUGCUUUAUUUUUCGCAGUAUUUAAUUUUAUUAAUUAAAGUAAUUUAGAAUUAGAAAUAUAUUUUAUUAUUGGUUAAAUUCGUGCCAGCUACCGCGGUUAAACGAAAGAUAAAAAUAAAUAAUUUUAGUUUUGUAGUUAAAAUUAAAUUGUAAAAAAAAGAAAUUAAUAUUAUAUUUAUUAAGUGAAAUUUAUAAAUUUAUUUAUUUUUUUAUUGUGAGGCUAAUAAAUUUUAUUAAAAAACUAGGAUUAGAUACCCUAUUAUUUAAAAUGUAAAUUAUAAAAAACUUAAGUAGUAAUAGUUAUGUUCUUGAAAUUUAAAAAAUUUGGCGGUAUUUUAGUCUAUUCAGAGGAACUUGUCCCAUAAUCGAUAGUACCCGAUAAUCUUACUUGAAUUUGUGUUAUUAGCUUAUUAGUUAAUAUUUAGUUUGUAUACCGCCGUUAUCAGAAUAUUUUAUAAGAAUAUUAAAUAUUCUAAAUUUUAUAUUAAAAAUGAUAUCAGGUCAAGGUGCAGCUAAUAUUUAAGUGGAGAUGAGUUACAAUAAAAUUUAUUUAUAUGAAUUUUAAAUUUAAAAAUUUAAAUGAAAAUGGAUUUGACAGUAAAAUAAUUAAUUAAAUUUAUUUGAUUUAUAGCUCUAAAAUAUGUACACAUCGCCCGUCGCUCUCAUUAGUUAAAAUGAGAUAAGUCGUAACAUAGUAGGUGUACUGGAAAGUGUACCUAGAUAGU
RNAcentral lists this non-coding RNA (823 nucleotides) under Pleroneura sp. 1 GYN-2021b. Lineage: Eukaryota; Metazoa; Arthropoda; Insecta; Hymenoptera; Xyelidae. The record is from RNAcentral.